CAUGGCAUGCCUUCAUCUUCUUAUUCUUUAUUUACAUGUGCAGAAGCAGAGCAGUCUGAUGAAGGGGCCUGACAGAUGAAAUAAUUGAUCUUGCCUCUGCUGAGCCUCUGAGUUGGGACUCUUCUCCGGCUGUGAGCUGAAAGAUGAAAGAGGAAGAAUCAUUUCUUCUGAGAAUUCAGGUGCUUCUCUUAAACAUGAAAGAACCUCUUUUUUUUUUUUUUUUUUAUCAGGGAUCAGGAAUAGAAAUAUACCAAAUUAUCUGUUGAUUGUCUGUUUUUGUCCUUGCAUUUCUGACUCAUUGGGAGAAUUCCAUUAUGAACAUACAUAUCCUAGUGGAAAUUUAAAAUAUACGAUGUGAGAAAUAUGAAGUGAAACUGCAGU
This is a long non-coding RNA of Astatotilapia calliptera (eastern happy), 381 nucleotides long. The record is from Ensembl. Lineage: Eukaryota; Metazoa; Chordata; Actinopteri; Cichliformes; Cichlidae.